UAGGGAAUCUUGGACAAUGGGCGCAAGCCUGAUCCAGCCAUGCCGCGUGAGUGAUGAAGGCCUUAGGGUUGUAAAGCUCUUUCGCCGGUGAAGAUAAUGACGGUAACCGGAGAAGAAGCCCCGGCUAACUUCGUGCCAGCAGCCGCGGUAAUACGAAGGGGGCUAGCGUUGCUCGGAAUCACUGGGCGUAAAGCGCACGUAGGCGGAUCGUUAAGUCAGGGGUGAAAUCCUGGGGCUCAACCUCAGAACUGCCCUUGAUACUGGCGAUCUCGAGUUCGAGAGAGGUUGGUGGAACUCCGAGUGUAGAGGUGAAAUUCGUAGAUAUUCGGAAGAACACCAGUGGCGAAGGCGGCCAACUGGCUCGAUACUGACGCUGAGGUGCGAAAGCGUGGGGAGCAAACA
RNAcentral lists this ribosomal RNA (402 nucleotides) under uncultured bacterium. Its description in RNAcentral is "bacterial SSU rRNA". It matches the Rfam family "Bacterial small subunit ribosomal RNA", at positions 355 to 774 of the family's 1533-position model. The record is from RNAcentral.